GUUUUUGAAACGCCGUCAUAGGCGCUGCUGCCUCCGCUGCUGAAAAUUCACUCUCUGUCUGUUGCUCAUCGUCGGCAACGGACCAAGAAUAAAAUUCCCAGCAACAAAUUCGCGCAGAAAAAAUACAUAAAAAUCUAUUAGAAAAAAAUACGCGUAUAAAAAGAAUUAUCAAGGCGA
Molecule: non-coding RNA, 177 nt
Organism: Drosophila suzukii
Lineage: Eukaryota; Metazoa; Arthropoda; Insecta; Diptera; Drosophilidae
Source: RefSeq, a predicted model, not a curated record